UCGGCGCACUGCUCAGUAACACGUGGACAAUCUACCCUGGGGUGGGGGAUAACCUCGCUAACGUGAGAACAAUACCCUAUAGACCGAGUACGCUGGAAUGCUCUUCGGUUGAAAGCUCCGGCGCCCCAGGAUGAGUUUGCGGCCUAUCAGGUAGUAGUGGGUGUAAAGGACCUACUAGCCUACGACGGGUACGGGCCUUGGGAGAGGUCGCCCUGAGUUGGAUUCUGAGACACGAAUCCAGGCCCUACGGGGCGCAGCAGGCGCGAAAACUCCACACUGUAGGAAACUGCGAUGGGGGGAAUCCAAGUGCAUGCACAUAGUGUAUGCUUUUCUCAAGUGUAUGUAGCUUGAGGAAUAAGGGCUGGGUAAGACGGGUGCCAGCCGCCGCGGUAAUACCUGCAGCUCAAGUGGUGAUCAUUAUUAUUGGGCCUAGAACGUCCGUAGCCGGUUUAGUAAAUGCCUGGGUAAAUCGUGUAGCUUAACUAUACGAAUUCCGGGUAGACUGCUAAACUUGAGACCGGGAGAGGCUAGAGGUACUCCUGGGGUAGAGGUGAAAUUCUGUAAUCCUAGGGGGACCACCAGUGGCGAAGGCGUCUAGCUAGAACGGGUCUGACGGUGAGGGACGAAGCCCUGGGGCACAAACCGGAUUAGAUAC
RNAcentral lists this ribosomal RNA (655 nucleotides) under uncultured archaeon. RNAcentral's name for it is "bacterial SSU rRNA". It matches the Rfam family "Archaeal small subunit ribosomal RNA", at positions 78 to 736 of the family's 1478-position model. The record is from RNAcentral.